This is a long non-coding RNA of Andrographis paniculata, 599 nucleotides long. RefSeq lists it as uncharacterized. The record is from RefSeq and is a predicted model, not a curated record. The transcript has 3 exons. Lineage: Eukaryota; Viridiplantae; Streptophyta; Magnoliopsida; Lamiales; Acanthaceae.
UCCUCCCUUUCUUGCACACACACACACAAAUUGUAUUUGGGAGCAGCGAGAAGAUUUAUAUUCUCUUUUUUCAGUAGCAACUUUCUCGGUUAUUGACAAUGUUUCGCAAGAGUCUUUUCAGAACAUUGGACGGCGGGAGAGCGUGGAUUCAACGUAGUGAAUCCUAUUAUGAACUGAACAUGGAGUUACAUAAAUGGAAGUUGAGCAAGAACCAUGGAUUUGAUCCAUCUGUCUUUGGCAAGCUUUUCUAAUGAAGAUUCUCGUGUUUGAUGGCAUCCUGUGGAUGCUAUCGAACUAUUACGAUGUGGAAUAGUCUGAAGGGCUUAAUGAGGAGGCAUGAGGCUUAAGAUGUUACUCCAUCAGUAUAAACCCCAACCAGACUUUCUACUCGAAUGUAUCUCGAAAUUUGCUUAAACUCCAUCCACUAGGAUUGUUUUGGUGGUUCAAGAUCGAUGUAUUGUUGGAAUUUUUUUGAAUUGAAAAUAUAUAUGUUUAUGUGAUGUUUUGAAUGUAAUUGUGAAUUUUGGAUGCGGCUGUAAUAUGAAUAAAUGUGAAAAUAAAUUCGAGUUACGGAGACGCAUUCUUAUUUUCUCACCAAC